RNAcentral lists this ribosomal RNA (253 nucleotides) under uncultured bacterium. Its description in RNAcentral is "partial 16S ribosomal RNA". It matches the Rfam family "Bacterial small subunit ribosomal RNA", at positions 524 to 776 of the family's 1533-position model. The record is from RNAcentral.
UACGUAGGGUGCAAGCGUUAAUCGGAAUUACUGGGCGUAAAGCGUGCGCAGGCGGCUAUGCAAGACAGAUGUGAAAUCCCCGGGCUUAACCUGGGAACUGCAUUUGUGACUGCAUGGCUGGAGUGCGGCAGAGGGGGAUGGAAUUCCGCGUGUAGCAGUGAAAUGCGUAGAUAUGCGGAGGAACACCGAUGGCGAAGGCAAUCCCCUGGGCCUGCACUGACGCUCAUGCACGAAAGCGUGGGGAGCAAACAGG